GGAGGUGUAGCUCAGUGGUGGAGUGUGUGCUUAGCAAUCACAAGGCCCUGGUUCAAUUCCCCAACACUUUCU
This 72-nucleotide transfer RNA is filed under the name Fukomys damarensis (Damara mole-rat). It matches the Rfam family "tRNA". From Rfam's summary of the family: Transfer RNA (tRNA) molecules are approximately 80 nucleotides in length. Their secondary structure includes four short double-helical elements and three loops (D, anti-codon, and T loops). Further hydrogen bonds mediate the characteristic L-shaped molecular structure. tRNAs have two regions of fundamental functional importance: the anti-codon, which is responsible for specific mRNA codon recognition, and the 3' end, to which the tRNAs corresponding amino acid is attached (by aminoacyl-tRNA synthetases). tRNAs cope with the degeneracy of the genetic code in two manners: having more than one tRNA (with a specific anti-codon) for a particular amino acid; and 'wobble' base-pairing, i.e. permitting non-standard base-pairing at the 3rd anti-codon position. The record is from Rfam by way of RNAcentral. Lineage: Eukaryota; Metazoa; Chordata; Mammalia; Rodentia; Bathyergidae.